This 810-nucleotide ribosomal RNA is filed under the name Streptomyces sp. Aku8. Its description in RNAcentral is "bacterial SSU rRNA". It matches the Rfam family "Bacterial small subunit ribosomal RNA", at positions 103 to 925 of the family's 1533-position model. Lineage: Bacteria; Bacillati; Actinomycetota; Actinomycetes; Kitasatosporales; Streptomycetaceae. The record is from RNAcentral.
CGGGUGAGUAACACGUGGGCAAUCUGCCCUGCACUCUGGGAUAACUCCGGGAAACCGGAGCUAAUACCGGAUACGAUCCUCCAGGGCAUCCUGGGGGGUGGAAAGCUCCGGCGGUGCAGGAUGAGCCCGCGGCCUAUCAGCUGGUUGGUGGGGUGACGGCCCACCAAGGCGACGACGGGUAGCCGGCCUGAGAGGGCGACCGGCCACACUGGGACUGAGACACGGUCCAGACUCAUACGGGAGGCAGCAGUGGGGAAUAUUGCACAAUGGGCGCAAGCCUGAUGCAGCGACGCCGCGUGAGGGAUGACGGCCUUCGGGUUGUAAACCUCUUUCAGCAGGGAAGAAGCGGAAGUGACGGUACCUGCAGAAGAAGCACCGGCUAACUACGUGCCAGCAGCCGCGGUAAUACGUAGGGUGCGAGCGUUGUCCGGAAUUAUUGGGCGUAAAGAGCUCGUAGGCGGCCUGUCGCGUCGGAUGUGAAAGCCCGGGGCUUAACCCCGGGUCGGCAUUCGAUACGGGCAGGCUAGAGUUCGGUAGGGGAGAUCGGAAUUCCUGGUGUAGCGGUGAAAUGCGCAGAUAUCAGGAGGAACACCGGUGGCGAAGGCGGAUCUCUGGGCCGAUACUGACGCUGAGGAGCGAAAGCGUGGGGAGCGAACAGGAUUAGAUACCCUGGUAGUCCACGCCGUAAACGUUGGGCACUAGGUGUGGGCGGCAUUCCACGUCGUCCGUGCCGCAGCUAACGCAUUAAGUGCCCCGCCUGGGGAGUACGGCCGCAAGGCUAAAAAUUCAAAGGAAUUGACGGGGCCCGCA